RNAcentral lists this ribosomal RNA (763 nucleotides) under uncultured archaeon. RNAcentral's name for it is "bacterial SSU rRNA". It matches the Rfam family "Archaeal small subunit ribosomal RNA", at positions 87 to 853 of the family's 1478-position model. The record is from RNAcentral.
GGCUCAGUAACACGUAGCUAACCUGCCCUUGAGUGAGGGAUAACCUCGGGAAACUGAGGAUAAGACCUUAUAGGAGAUUCGUUCUGGAAAGAAUUUUCUCUUAAACUUACGGCUCAAGGAUGGGGCUGCGCCUGAUUAGGUUGUUGGCGGGGUAAUAGCCCACCAAGCCAAUGAUCAGUAGGGGCUCUUAGCGGAGUCGCCCCGAGAGGGAGUCUGAGACACUAUUCCCAGCUCUACGGAGUGCAGCAGUUAUGAAUUUUUUGCAAUGCGCGCAAGCGUGACAAAGCGAGCCAAAGUGCUUUUCGCACAGAAAAGCUUUUGCCAGCUGUAAAAAGGCUGGCGAAUAAGGACUGGGCAAGACCGGUGCCAGCCGCCGCGGUAAUCCCGGCAGUCCAAGUCGCAGCCAGCAUUAUUGGGUCUAAAACAUCCGUAGCUUGUUUAUUAAGUUUCUUGUGAAAUCCUAUAUCUUAAGUAUGGGGCUUGCAGGAAAUACUGAUAAGCUAGAGACCGGAAGAUGUAAGGAGUACACUUGAGGUAGUAGUAAAAUACGUUAAUCUUAUGUGGACUAACAAUUGGCGAAGGCACCUUACAAGUACGGAUCUGACAGUGAGGGAUGAAGGCUAGGGGCGCAAAAGGGAUUAGAUACCCCUGUAGUCCUAGCAGUAAACACUGCUCACUAAACAUUGGUCUCUCUUCGGGAGAAAUCAGUGCUGCAGCGAAGGCGAAGAGUGAGCUACCUGGGAAGUAUAGUCGCAAGAUCGAA